GUUGACCUCGGAUCAGGUAGGGAUACC
Molecule: non-coding RNA, 27 nt
Filed under: Drosophila melanogaster (fruit fly)
Lineage: Eukaryota; Metazoa; Arthropoda; Insecta; Diptera; Drosophilidae
Also listed under: 12 other names
Source: RNAcentral